UGCAAGUGCACUCUGUGUCACAUUGAUUUGCCACAUGUGAUGACAAUUUGUUAACUUGCCAGAUCAAACCAAAGCUGCGUUUAUCCAUGUGAUUGUGUCCUUAAGACUAGUUGCAUUGAAAACGCGCCUUACACUCC
Non-coding RNA from Drosophila virilis, 137 nucleotides. NCBI's taxonomy places the organism in Eukaryota, Metazoa, Arthropoda, Insecta, Diptera, Drosophilidae. The record is from Rfam.